This is a long non-coding RNA of Podarcis raffonei (Aeolian wall lizard), 259 nucleotides long. RefSeq lists it as uncharacterized. NCBI's taxonomy places the organism in Eukaryota, Metazoa, Chordata, Lepidosauria, Squamata, Lacertidae. The record is from RefSeq and is a predicted model, not a curated record. The transcript is spliced from 2 exons.
CACUGAUCUUCCCAGAUUUCAGGGCCAUCGAAGAGCUUGAUGGAUGACGGUGGAAACAAAAUCCAAAAACCUGCAACACCAAGCAGAAGGAAAUGCUCUCAGAUCUACGCUUUCUGAAGUUGGACGCCAGCAACUGAAGCAUUCUGGCCUAGCUACCCAAGGUGCCAAACCUGAGCCUUGAUUGUUCCUCUUCAGACUCCAGGUCAGGAUGCACAUGACUGAGUACCCAUCUAUAAUAACAUAAAUACUAAGAAAGGCA